This 71-nucleotide transfer RNA is filed under the name Salmo salar (Atlantic salmon). It matches the Rfam family "tRNA". From Rfam's summary of the family: Transfer RNA (tRNA) molecules are approximately 80 nucleotides in length. The record is from Rfam by way of RNAcentral. Lineage: Eukaryota; Metazoa; Chordata; Actinopteri; Salmoniformes; Salmonidae.
CCCCGUGUGGCUCAGCUGGUAGAGCGUGGUGUUUUGCAACGCCAGGGUUGUGGGUUCGAUUCCCACGGGGG